RNAcentral lists this long non-coding RNA (865 nucleotides) under Sorghum bicolor (sorghum). RNAcentral describes it as "long non-coding RNA (SBIC_LNC008190)". Lineage: Eukaryota; Viridiplantae; Streptophyta; Magnoliopsida; Poales; Poaceae. The record is from RNAcentral.
GUAGACGCUUUGGAUCCCGGUGAUGAGAGACUGAGGACUCGGUCACAGUUGCCAUCUACUAUGUCCAUACUCAUUUCUUUAAACUAUGCAUGAUUUUAUUUUAAUUUUUGUCUAUUCUCUAUAUUCAUUGUUGCAAACGAUUAUAAACACAAUAUUUUCUAAGGAAAAGUAAUUAAAAAGACACUAAUAAUAAAAUUCUAUACUUGUCUUGUUUUAAGCAUGAAAAAUAUAAUGGAUACUAUCUAGUAACAAAAAAAUAUCAAGUCAAUUUGAUGAACUCUAUGCUCAAAAUCUUUAUACAUGCUCAAACUAACAAGUCUAGCUAACAAGUCGAUUUGAUGAACCCUAUUAAUUAAAUUUAUUUUAUAAUCUCAAUUAUAUAUAGAAGAAAGAUUAAAAAAACGACAAUAUAAUUAAGCUAUGGAUACUAAUUUAAGCUACGAAUUCAAACUAACAAGUAAUAAAUUUUAGCUCAAAGUGGCAGAGAAAUCACAAGGGCAAAAAUAACAUGAAAAUGACAUGAGAGGAUGAAGCUAGUUGCCUCUAAACACGAAAAGUCGAUGGUGGAGUCGAAGAAGAUCACCAAUGGGCGCCGGCGAUGUCGACUCAAGCUAUAACCAUUGAUUUUGAGCUUAAAAUAGAGGAAAAAAUCACAAAAACAAAAAACUACAUAAAAAAGAUAACAGGGAAUGAAGUUAGUUACCCCUAGACCCAAGGAAAUGAUGAUGGCGUCGAAGAAGAUCGCCAAUGGGUGCCGGAGAUGAAGAACAAGCAAGAAAAAGCAAGAACAAACAAUGGCAAGCAAGAAGAGAGGGAACAAACUCACUGAAUUUUGAAUAGGCUCAGUCUCGGGGAGACAAAAGGG